GACGCUGGCGGCAGGCUUACACAUGCAAGUCGAGCGGGGGAAGGUAGCUUGCUACCGGACCUAGCGGCGGACGGGUGAGUAAUGCUUAGGAAUCUGCCUAUUAGUGGGGGACAACAUCUCGAAAGGGAUGCUAAUACCGCAUACGUCCUACGGGAGAAAGCAGGGGAUCUUCGGACCUUGCGCUAAUAGAUGAGCCUAAGUCGGAUUAGCUAGUUGGUGGGGUAAAGGCCUACCAAGGCGACGAUCUGUAGCGGGUCUGAGAGGAUGAUCCGCCACACUGGGACUGAGACACGGCCCAGACUCCUACGGGAGGCAGCAGUGGGGAAUAUUGGACAAUGGGGGGAACCCUGAUCCAGCCAUGCCGCGUGUGUGAAGAAGGCCUUAUGGUUGUAAAGCACUUUAAGCGAGGAGGAGGCUACUUUAGUUAAUACCUAGAGAUAGUGGACGUUACUCGCAGAAUAAGCACCGGCUAACUCUGUGCCAGCAGCCGCGGUAAUACAGAGGGUGCGAGCGUUAAUCGGAUUUACUGGGCGUAAAGCGUGCGUAGGCGGCUUAUUAAGUCGGAUGUGAAAUCCCCGAGCUUAACUUGGGAAUUGCAUUCGAUACUGGUGAGCUAGAGUAUGGGAGAGGAUGGUAGAAUUCCAGGUGUAGCGGUGAAAUGCGUAGAGAUCUGGAGGAAUACCGAUGGCGAAGGCAGCCAUCUGGCCUAAUACUGACGCUGAGGUACGAAAGCAUGGGGAGCAAACAGGAUUAGAUACCCUGGUAGUCCAUGCCGUAAACGAUGUCUACUAGCCGUUGGGGCCUUUGAGGCUUUAGUGGCGCAGCUAACGCGAUAAGUAGACCGCCUGGGGAGUACGGUCGCAAGACUAAAACUCAAAUGAAUUGACGGGGGCCCGCACAAGCGGUGGAGCAUGUGGUUUAAUUCGAUGCAACGCGAAGAACCCUUACCUGGCCCUUGACAUACUAGAAACUUUCCAGAGAUGGAUUGGUGCC
RNAcentral lists this ribosomal RNA (993 nucleotides) under Acinetobacter baumannii. RNAcentral describes it as "bacterial SSU rRNA". It matches the Rfam family "Bacterial small subunit ribosomal RNA", at positions 32 to 1018 of the family's 1533-position model. Lineage: Bacteria; Pseudomonadati; Pseudomonadota; Gammaproteobacteria; Moraxellales; Moraxellaceae. The record is from RNAcentral.